CAUAUAGAGAGAGAGUUGCGACAACUCCAUAGACUCCAAUGGAACGGUUUUUUACAGCAAUGGCGGCUCGUGGAGCCUCUCAAUAGUUCCCGGAAGUAGCAGCCGCGCCGUAGAGUUACAGCAGAACAGACCGUUUGUGAUGCACUUUUAAAAGCACAAAGGGGAUUCAGAUCCUGAAGACUCCAUGCAAUGAUGCUGUCACCGCCAGUCUCUGCUCCUUGGAUUUUGCAAGCUUUUCCUUGCUCCUUAUUUUUAAUAAACCUUUAAUAAACAUAAAA
This is a long non-coding RNA of Megalobrama amblycephala (Wuchang bream), 278 nucleotides long. RefSeq lists it as uncharacterized. Lineage: Eukaryota; Metazoa; Chordata; Actinopteri; Cypriniformes; Xenocyprididae. The record is from RefSeq and is a predicted model, not a curated record. The transcript has 2 exons.